RNAcentral lists this ribosomal RNA (425 nucleotides) under uncultured bacterium. RNAcentral describes it as "partial 16S ribosomal RNA". It matches the Rfam family "Bacterial small subunit ribosomal RNA", at positions 354 to 796 of the family's 1533-position model. The record is from RNAcentral.
GUGGGGAAUCUUGCGCAAUGGGCGAAAGCCUGACGCAGCCAUGCCGCGUGAAUGAUGAAGGUCUUAGGAUUGUAAAAUUCUUUCACCGGGGACGAUAAUGACGGUACCCGGAGAAGAAGCUCCGGCUAACUUCGUGCCAGCAGCCGCGGUAAUACGAAGGGGGCUAGCGUUGCUCGGAAUUACUGGGCGUAAAGGGCGCGUAGGCGGACAGCUUAGUCAGAGGUGAAAGCCCAGGGCUCAACCUUGGAAUUGCCUUUGAUACUGGCUGUCUUGAGUUUGGGAGAGGUGAGUGGAACUCCGAGUGUAGAGGUGAAAGUCGUAGAUAUUCGGAAGAACACCAGUGGCGAAGGCGACUCACUGGCCCAAUACUGACGCUGAGGCGCGAAAGCGUGGGGAGCAAACAGGAUUAGAAACCCGAGUAGUCC